AGCGAACGCUGGCGGCAGGCCUAACACAUGCAAGUCGAACGGGCUCUUUGGAGCUAGUGGCGGACGGGUGAGUAACACGUGGGAACGUGCCUUUAGGUUCGGAAUAAGCCAGGGAAACUGGGUCUAAUACCGGAUGUGCCCUUCGGGGGAAGGAUUUAUCGCCUUUAGAGCGGCCCGCGUCUGAUUAGCCAGUUGGUGGUGUAAUGGACCACCAAGGCGACGAUCAGUAGCUGGUCUGAGAGGAUGAUCAGCCACAUUGGGACUGAGACACGGCCCAAACUCCUACGGGAGGCAGCAGUGGGGAGUCUUUCGCAAUGGGCGAAAGCUUGACGCAGCCAUGCCGCGUGAAUGAUGAAGGUCUUAGGAUUGUAAAAUUCUUUCACCGGGGACGAUAAUGACGGUACCCGGAGAAGAAGCCCCGGCUAACUUCGUGCCAGCCGCCGCGGUAA
Molecule: ribosomal RNA, 449 nt
Filed under: uncultured bacterium
Lineage: Bacteria
Description: partial 16S ribosomal RNA
Rfam family: Bacterial small subunit ribosomal RNA
Source: RNAcentral